This 508-nucleotide ribosomal RNA is filed under the name uncultured bacterium. Its description in RNAcentral is "partial 16S ribosomal RNA". It matches the Rfam family "Bacterial small subunit ribosomal RNA", at positions 28 to 507 of the family's 1533-position model. The record is from RNAcentral.
GACGAACGCUGGCGGCGUGCCUAACACAUGCAAGUCGAACGCUUCUUUCCUGCCGAUUGCUUGUACUCUAUUGGAAAGCGGAGGGGUGAGCGGUUGAUUAACACCUGGGUAAUCUAGGCAGAAGAGGGGGAUAACAGGUGGAUACAGGCGCUAAUACCCCCUAGCAGUUUAUGGCGCAUGGCAUAACAGCGUACGGCGCUUUCGGCUCUGGUUGAUGGCUGGACCCGCGGGGCAUUAGCUAGUUGGUGGGGUAACGGCUCACCUAGGCGACGAUGCAUAGCCGACCUGAGAGGGGGAUCGGCCACACUGGAACUGAGACACGGCCCAGACUCCUACGGGAGGCAGCAGUAGGGAAUCUUAGGCAAUGGGCGGAAGUCUGACCGAGCAACGCCGCGUGAGUGAAGAAGGCGUUCGGAUCGUAAAGCUCUGUUGUUGGGGAAGAACAGGGUAGUUAGUAAAUGAACGGUCACUGACGGUACCGGACAAAGAAGCACCGGCUAACUACGUG